GACGAACGCUGGCGGCGUGCUUAACACAUGCAAGUCGAACGAGAGCGUAGAGAAAGCUUGCUUUUUCUACAAUCUAGUGGCAAACGGGUGAGUAACGCGUAAACAACCUGCCCUACGGAUGGGGACAACAGCUGGAAACGGCUGCUAAUACCGAAUACGUUCCGAAAGUCGCAUGACUAUCGGAAGAAAGGAUGGCCUCUAUUUAUAAGCUAUCGCCGGAGGAGGGGUUUGCGUCUGAUUAGCUAGUUGGAGGGGUAACGGCCCACCAAGGCGACGAUCAGUAGCCGGUCUGAGAGGAUGAACGGCCACAUUGGAACUGAGACACGGUCCAGACUCCUACGGGAGGCAGCAGUGGGGAAUCUUCCGCAAUGGGCGAAAGCCUGACGGAGCAACGCCGCGUGAGUGAAGACGGCCUUCGGGUUGUAAAGCUCUGUUAUACGGGACGAAUAAUCUUGUGGUUAAUACCCAUGAGAAGUGACGGUACCGUAAGAGAAAACCACGGCUAACUACGU
Molecule: ribosomal RNA, 512 nt
Filed under: uncultured bacterium
Lineage: Bacteria
Description: partial 16S ribosomal RNA
Rfam family: Bacterial small subunit ribosomal RNA
Source: RNAcentral